ACCAGAUCGCCUUCGCUUUUCCGUAAAUAAAGAGGUGUCUCUGCUUGGUGUUCGCUUGUUCGGAGACCAAAAUGAGAGUAAAUACCAGGUUACGUUUGAAGUCAAGGAAGCCAAAGUUACCGGAACAUAUACCACUGUACGCAAUGAAGACGACAUCCCUGGUUUUGAUGUCAUGUUAAAGAAACCCAUUGUACUGAAGCAGAACGAACUGGUAACAAUCUCUGCAACAAUAGACGGCCCUGAUUCGUGUCAUGGUGACAAUGGAUUAUCUUCAGUUACAUUUGAGGGGGCUACUGUGACAUUUAAUGAUGAUCCGUCGUCCUACAACAACGGAACUUCUACAUAUUACGGACAAUUUCAUGAAAUAAUACUUGCAAUUUAAUACCCAUGGUUCAUGAUUCAAUGUUGUGCUGCAACCUGCACGGGUUCAGUGUUAGGAACAUGAUAACAAUGUUGUUAAAAGGAUGUUCAGAUCAAAUCAUUUAAAUUAAACAUGCAAUGAUGCAACCACUUAUAAAUAUUAACGCGCGCGGUCGACCAAUUAAUGUGUUUUUUUUUAAUUUAAUAAAUUUGCCCAAAUAUCAUAACUAUUUACAAUAAUAAUUACUAAUAUUAUAUUAUAUUACAGAGGGGCAAAAGGCCAUUGGAAACCUGUAUAGGCUUUUAUUCAUGACCCCAAGUUUUAUCUACUUAGUUAUAGAUGAAUAGCAUUAAGAAAGUUUAUUAACCAGCUAAUUAAAGUAAUUAUAAUGAUAAGGACAGGAUGCAUGGGUUCUUGAUUAACAAGCUUUUUACAAAAUAAACUAAAAUAAUAUAGUCGGGGAAUGUCAGAUGACAAUUUUUUACUAACAAAGUCAAAUCUGAUCCAGCAUCUUCCAACAUGACCGAACACUGUCAAACAGACCCAAUAAUGUAACAUCAAACAAUAUAGACCAACAUGUUGGACUGGUCUGAACAUGCACAUAAUACAUCCUUAAAAAUUCCUAUAAUAUUAACAUUCAUGGCUAUAAUAUUAAUAUUCAUAUCAUCGUCCCUAAUGUGGAAGUUGUAAUAUUUUGGGUUUUUUUAGCUUAUUGCAUGCUAUUACUGCAUUUGUAAUAUAUUUAUAUGGUUGUUAAUCUAACGAGGGUACAGUAAUCCGCUUGCACUGCGGUGGGAGCUCCUUGCCAUAAGUUAUAGAUUAUUUUUCAGCUUAGCCUAAUACAAAAUACAGUAGAUAUUUGUACAUAAAGUAAAUAAAAUCCUCUUUAAAAAAUUCGUUGUCUCGGGCGGGAUUUAAACCUUCAUUGUCCAGUCGACCCAAUGAGCUAUCAAGCCAUAGGGAUUCCAAUUUAAGGGAGUUUUUCAAACAAGUUUUUCAAAUUACGUAACUGUGAUUAUUGAUCAUUUCUUUGGUUUUAAUAACAGAUUUCAGUUUUAAUUAUCAAGAUAAUUGAGUAUACUGAUAAUAGAAUUCAUUUUCAUGAAAAAAAAUUCGGGCUCAUCGAAGUUGUUUUCGAGUUAAAUUACCCGCUUAAAACCAAAAUACCAGCCAUCUUGAAACGUCAUUGUUGCCAUAUCAACGGCAGUUAGAUCCAGAAUUACUGAUCUAAAUCGUGAAUUUUAAAUUUUAAUUUUAACUUUGUUUAGAGCCACUUUAAAUACUCUUUGUUUUAAAUCCUGAUUUCCGAAUUACUGUGGCCCCGAUUACACUAUACCGGAUUGCAUCGAAGCGACGCAAUUUCUGUACCGGUUGGCCUCUUGUUUACACUACGCCACUGUAAUCCGGUACGUGCCGCGGCGCGAAAAUCACUUCGCUUUGGAGGUGAUAUGAAAAGUAAUCCGGUACGUGCUGUACCGGAUAAAACCAAGUGUAAUCAGGCAAUCGGUACGCUCCGGUACUAUAAAUAGGUUUCGGCAAGUAUAUUUUAACAUUGUCGUUUUAUUUACUCGCUUUUAAAUAUUUUAUAGCUGUUGUUUGCUUCGCUUUACAAUUAUUUAUUAUUUCUAGCGAAGACAAAUAAAGAUAGCGGUAAUAACAUUGACUUCUUGCUUUCAAAAGGGCAAAAUUUAAUGAAAUACUCGUCAAUUUUCGAUAAGAGCGAGACAAAGCAACGUCGGGUGGUCAAGCUUUGUAAACAAAGUUAUAAUUCACAAGUACUGUCGAGAAAACGUCCAAAAUGGUCAAAACUUAUUAUUUGUUUCCGUGGCAACGAUAAAAGAUACGAGCUGGCGACAGAGCGAAGCGGCAUAGUGUAAACACCCUUGAUUUUGGCUUCGGUGUGAAAAUUGAUUCGGUAUGAAAAUCAAUCCGGUAUAGUGUAAUCCCAGCCUGUGUAACAUGUGUAUUAAAAACCUAAUUAUAUAACUGACAAAGUUAUGUAAGAAAUGUUGUUAUAUGUUCAACAGUACACCAUUUUCUGUAGCCUGCAUAGCAGGCGUUUUUUUGCGGGACGUUUGGAUUGUUCAUGCCCACUAAAGGCGGUUUUCCACUAGGCGAAAUUUUUCGACCGAAUCGAAAUUUCUCUUUGUUUCAGAGCUCUCGAGCAGAACUAAUUGUAAAAAGACAAAGAGAAAUUUCGUUUCGGUCGAAAAAUUCCGCCUCGUGGAAUCCGGCCUUAAAGCAUAUCAAAUUACGUUUCGCUUUCAAUUAUUCUAUAAUCUAUAUACUUCCGCGAUUGUCUUGCACAAUUCUUGUUCUUGCAUUCAAGUACUCCCGAUAGUAUUCCACAUCUACAAUUCUUGAAAAUGGCCCGCUCUGUUCAAUCGAAUGUGGACUGGCAGUCGACAAAGAACACCAUCUUAGAAAGAAACCGUCAUAUGUUCAACAAUUCAGACAUGAGUGACAUCAGCUUUACUUGCGAAGGUUCAGACAAGACAUUCUAUGCACAUAAAUAUGUCUUGAGCACAAGUAGCGCCGUAUUUCAUGCCAUGUUUUAUGGCGGCUUCGCUGUGAAAGAUUCCAUUGUUUAUUUCUUUAAUAUAGACGAGGAAAGUUUGGAGCAGUUUUUGAGAUUUCUUUACACGGAGGAAUGUACAUUGACCGCAGACAAUGUUGUUGCCACCAUGUAUUUGGCAAACAAAUACAUAAUUCCUUCGCUCAAUGAGAAAUGUGUUGACUUCCUGCUGGAAAUUUUAAAUCCUGAAAAUGUGCUGGAUGUUUUGAAGCAAGCGACUCGUUUUGAUGAGAAAGAAUUAGAAAAACGAUGUUGGAAUGUUAUAGAGUCUAAUGCAGGGGAAGUGGUAGCCUCUGAUAGUUUCAAUAACAUCAGUCAAACGACCUUGGCUAAAUUACUGAAGCGAGACAAACUAAACAUACCAGAAGUAAAACUAUUUGAAGCUGUUUUAAAAUGGAUUGAUUUCCAAUGUUCGCGCAUGAAUUUGAAGCCAACGGGUGAGAACCGAAGGUCUAUCAUUGGCGAGGCGAUAUACGAUUUUCGAUUUUUUGGCAUGAGCCAAAAAGAGUUUGUUGAACAUGUUUCUAAAUCUGGUUUGUUAACUUCGGAUGAAUUAGUUCCAAUUUACGAGAAAUUUCUUGGAAUUAAUUCGCCCGCGUUGAAAUUGAACAAGCUACCAAAUAGGAAGCAAGCAGGUAUAGUUAGAUAUUCCAGAUUCCCGGCAGGACAGGGAACGAAACGUUUGGGUUAUGGUUAUUGGCUAUAUGGUAGCAAACCAGAGCGCCUGCGCUUUUCCGUAAAUAAAGAGGUGUCUCUGCUUGGUGUCCGUUUGUUUGGAGACAAAAAUGAGAGUAAGUAUCAGGUUACGUUUGAAGUCAAAGAAACCAAAGUAACCGGAACGUAUACCUCUGCACGCAAUGAAGACGAUGUCCCUGGUUUUGAUGUCAUGUUAAAGAAACCCAUUGUACUGAAGCAGAACGAACUGGUAACAAUCUCUGCAAUAAUAGACGGACCCGGUUCGUGUUAUGGUGACAAUGGAUCAGUCAGAGUUACACUGGAGGGGGCUACUGUGACAUUUAAUGAUGAUCCGUCGUCCAACAACGGAACUUCUACAUAUUACGGACAAUUUCAUGAAAUAAUACUUGCAAUUUAAUAUUCAUGGUUCAUGAUUUAAUGUUGUGCUGUACCCUGCAUGGGUUCAGUGUUAAGAGCAUGAUAACAAUAUUGUUAAAAGGAUGUUUAGAUUAAAUCACUUAAAUUAACAACCACUUUUAAAUAUUAACGCACGCGGUCGAACAAUGUUGGACGAUAUCAGUCGAUGACAACUUUUUAACAACGUCAAGUCGUCAGCUAUGAACCCGAUCCAACAUAUGCUCACACAGAACAAACAAUCUUGCAUCCAACAAAUGUAGGAUGAUGUUAGACCAACGUGUUGGACUAGUUGGAACAAGGCACAUUACAUCCUUACACAAUUGGUAUACUAUUAUAAAAUUAUUCAUUGCUCGUGAAAAAAUAUUUGAACUGGUAAUCCAUUAUAAUAUUAAUUUAAUUUAAAAUUGUUACUAGGGACCUUAACUAAAAAGCCUUAUGGUUUCUAGAAGGUUCCUAGCCCUAUACUAUUGUAAAUACUUCUAUUUUUGAUUUAUAUGUAAUUUGGGC
This 4535-nucleotide long non-coding RNA is filed under the name Paramuricea clavata. Lineage: Eukaryota; Metazoa; Cnidaria; Anthozoa; Malacalcyonacea; Plexauridae. The record is from RNAcentral.